CCUGUUACCUCUGUAACCGUCCCCAACUAUACAGGAGUCCUUUCUUCCCCCACUCUCUUCCUGUGUGCUGCCCUUCUGGCAGCUUUAUGGGACUUGUACAGCUGGUGAGCAAUCAGCCCUUAAUUACUCACCAGCUCCCAAUCAGCCCCAAUUAGUCCUGGGCGGAGAGCCCGUCGAGACCUGGCACGUCCAGCAGAUGGAGCCAUCGCCUUGUGAUGUACACUCUGUCUGUCAGCAGGCCUCGACGAGUCUCCCCCUGGUGGCUGACCUGCUGUACGCCACACACCCCCACCAUAGCUCUGUCGGGGAGGGGGCUGUCAUCAGUGUGACGUAGGUCUCCCUUCUCGAUAGGGCAUCUGCAUUUCCAUGCUUCGCCCCUGACCUGUGCACAACAGAAAAAAGAAAAGCGUUGAAGGGACAAGAAACACCUGGUGACCCAAUCGUUUGUCUCCCUUCCCCUGGCUAUCCAGACCAGGGGAGCAUGGUCAGUGACCAGGGUGAAGUGGAUACCUAACAGCUAUUUCUUCAGGCGCCUGAACGCUGCUUCUGUCUCGUCCGUCCAUUUCACUGUUUUCGGGAGGCGGGCCCUGGUUAGAUCAGUGAAGGGGGAAGCUAUAGCCGCAAAGUUGGGGAUAAAUCGGCUAUAGUAUCCUUCCAGUCCCAGGAAGGAUUUGACCUGUGUCUUGGUGCGUGGAACAGGCCAGUCGCGUACCGCAUGAACCUUCCUCUCCUGGGGCUUGACGUUCCCCAGUCCGAUCAAAUAACCCAUGUACUCCACCUCCUCGAACCCUAGUUUGCAUUUUUUGGGAUUCACUGUCAACCCAGCUUGCCUGAGCGCGUCCAGCACCGCCUGGGGGCACGUCAGGUGCUCUUCCCAACCUUGGCUGUGGAUGAUGAUAUCAUCCAAAUAGGCCGCUGCGUACUGCUGGUGGGGUCGAAGUACUUUGUCCAUCAGGCGCUGGAAUGUGGGUGGGGCUCCGUGGAGACCGAACGGGAGCACCCGGUACUGAUAUAGUCCGUCUGUUGUCGAAAACAGCAUCUUAUCUCGGGAGGAGGCUGUCAACGGUACCUGCCAAUAACCUUUGGUCGGGUCAAGUGUGCUGAUGUACCGGGCCUUUCCCAAUCGGUCGAUGAGUUCGUCCACCCUCGGCAUGGGGUAGGCUUCGAACAAGCUGAUGUCGUUCACCCCCCGGAAAUCGUUACAGAAGCACAGGCUCCUGUCCGGUUUGGGCACCAACACGAUUGGGCUGUACCAUGGACUCUUCAACGACCCCCAUCCUCAGCAUAGCCUCCACCUCCUGUGUCACGGCCUUCCUUCGGGCCUCCGGAAUCCGAUAUGGCCUCUUUCGUACCGUUUCCCCAGGACGGGUACGGAUGUGGUGUUCAAUGAGGGUCGUGUGGCCCGGCUUCUCGGAGAACACCGGCGUGUUCCGAUCGACGAGCUCCCUGAGCUCUUGCUUCUGGGCCGGGUCGAGGUCCCCAUUGCUCGGGACCACCACUGGUACCGUUGGCGUCCUGGGUCCCGACCAUAACACGGCCAAGGCUGCCCUCUCGUACCAUUUCUUCAACAGGUUCACGUGAUAAAUCUGUUGGGGUUUCCAUCUCCCCGGCUGCCAUACACGGUAAUUGACAGGUGCCAGCUUCUCGAUCACCUCGUAUGGCCCGUGCCAUGUUGCCAGGAACUUACUUUCAGCCGUGGGGCUCAAGACCACCCUGUCAAGACACCCUGUCUCCCACCUGGAAUUCUCGGGGCUGGGCUCCACGAUUGUAGGCUUGGGCGCAUUGGGCCUUCUCCAUAUGUUCCCUCACGACUGGCCAUAUGGCUGUCAUCCGCUCCCUCAUCGUCUCCACGUGCUCUACCAUGCUGCGUAAUGAGGUUGGUUGGGCUUCCCACACCUCCUUGGCGAGGUCCAGUAGGUCUGCUUAGCCUCCUCCCGUAGAGGAGUUCAAACGGGGAAAACCCAGUGGAGGACUGGGGUACCUCUCGGAUUGAGAACAUUAGGUGGGGUAGUAGCUGGUCCCAGUUCUUCCCGUCCUGCUCGAUGACCUUCCGCAGCAUUUGUUUGAGCAUUUUAUUGAACCGCUCGAUGAGCCCAUCCAUCUGCGGGUGGAAGACGGAGGUCCGGAUCUGCUUGAUCUGCAGGAGGGCACAUAAAUCUUUCAUUAGGCGGGACAUAAACUCUGUAACUUGGUCUGUCAGGAUCUCGUUCGGGAUGCCCACCCGGCUAAAGAGGUGGAACAGCUCCCGGGCGAUUUCCUUGGAUACCGCCGCCUGUAGGGUAAUGGCCUCGGGAUACCGGGUGGCAAAGUCUACUAUUAUCAGGAUGUACCGGUGUCCUCGUGCUGUUUUUACCAGGGGUCCCACUAUGUCCAUUGCGAUGCGUCCAAGGGCACCCCGAUGAUCGGUAGGGGGACCAGUGGGUUUCGGAAGUGUGCCUUUGGGGCAGUCAUUUGACACUCCGGGCAACUGCGACAGUCGUCUUCCAUGGCCCUCCUCAUCCCGGGCCAGUGGAACCGGGGUGGCGAUCCGUUCCCGGGUCUUCUCCAUUCCCAGGUGCGCCCCCAACAGGUGGGCCAGCUGAAGAACGGUUCCCACGUACCGUCAGGGUAGCAACAAUAUCUCUUGAAGUUUCCCCUGUUGGUGCGACACCUGACACAAAAGGUUAUUCUUGAUUUGGAAAUGGGGGUAUCGCCAGUCACUCACCCCUGGAAGUAGCUGUCCAUCCACCGUUAUCACUUGGGCUGCGGCGGCUUUGAAGUUAGUAUCCUCCCACUGGACCGUCCCGAAUUGUCCCCUCAGUUGGCCCCCGGCGGGUGUCUCGACUGGCCCCUCAAAAUCGAGGAGGGGGAGGCUAGGCUCUUCCUCCCGUGGUUCCCCAGUGGGGUCGGGUUCCGGCACCCCCUCCGACUCCGGACCUGUAGAUACAGGUUGGUCAACCGUUUGCUUCCGGGCUGCACAGGCGAUGGGUCGUCCUCGCUCUCGUCUUCGGCCGGCUCGUACCUUCUUCCUCAGCUCGUGCCCCCACAGGGCCAUGAACAGCGGACAAUCUCGUCCCACUAGGAGAGGUAACGGCAACUCUGGUACUGCACCCACCAUCAUCUGGCAGCUCCCUUGGGGCGUCACGAUGUUGGCCCAUACGGUUGGAUACCGCUUUGUGUCCCCAUGAACACAGGAAAUGGACAUCUCCCUACCACGUUCGGUCUCCUGGUUCAGCAGGCACAUGGUUAUGAGGGUAACCAUACUUCCGGAGUCCAAUAGAGCUUCCGUGUCGUGUCCGUCAACCUUCACCAGGACCAUGGGUGCAGUUGAUUCACUGCGUGACCCACCUCGCCUCCGGGGCUUGCUGAUGGCAUCGAUUCCUCUCGAGCCAGGCAAUUCCAGGCAAUGUGUCCCCGGGUGCCACACUCAAAACCCCUCCUUUGGUCUCCAUCUACCUGGGGUCGUCGGUGGCAGGUCUGGCCCUACCCCAGCCGUCUCUCCAGGGGUUUGCUGUCCUUUGGCCCUGCCGACUGUCAGUUCGGGGUACACAGCAGUGCGGCUGUCCUUCCGACUCCUCGAACGGGUUGCCGACUCGGCCCGGCUCCCACUCAGCAGGGCCUGAGUGUUCUAAUGUGUUUCCACUGCUUCCAGGAGGCCCUCCAAGGUCUGGGGCGCUGCUCUCUUCAUGUCAUGGGGUUGUGCCCGUAGGAAGCGAUCCAGGCCCACUUUGUCUAGGAUGGAGAGGGUGGAUGUGUCGGUUAGGAGCCAUCCCCUGGUGAUGCCCAGUAGGUCGCUCAUCUGGGCUCGGGGCGUCGGGCUAUGAACCUCCAGCUGUGGAAGAGUUGAGCCCAAUGGGCCAGGCUGUACCUGUAGCGGCUGAGUAUCUUCCAUUUAAGUCCGUCGUAGUUAGCCGCCUGUUCAUCGUUCAGGUCCCACUACGCCUUUUGGGCAUUCCCAGAGCGGAACGGGGCCAGCAGACUGGCCCACUUCUGUCUUGGCCAUCCUUCCCGUAGUACCGUCCGUUCAAACGUACAGAGGUAGGUUUCGAUGUCAUCGUCUUCCGUUAGCUUGAGUAAAAACUGGUUUGGAUGCGAUUCAGUAGACUCUCCUCCUUGUAGCUUCCUGAUUUCCUCAAUGAGGAGGACGUUUUGUAGCCGCUGUUCCUCCAGCGUUCGUUCCUGAACCGCCUGUUGGGCCGAGACGAACUGAGCUAUCAACUCGUCCAUGCUGAUGCUGCGUAAACGUCAACCCUGAUCUGACCACGUUAUCAGAGUGCCCACAUUCUCCACCACUUAUGGCAGACCAGGGGGUUGGGUCAAAAUGUUUACACAGAUCAGAUACAGACAGAGAAGGAUUAGCUCAGUUUCAAAGAUGUUUAUUAAAAUAAUAGUUCAAAAAGAAAAGAAUAAGUCUCCCUCAAGAGACCCUCUCCGGGAUACCGUCUUCUGGGCUCCGGGUCUUGCUGUAUCCUGUGGGGAUGAAAAACUCAACUCCCUCCUGUUACCUCUGUAACCGUCCCCAACUAUACAGGAGUCCUUUCUUCCCCCACUCUCUUCCUGUGUGCUGCCCUUCUGGCAGCUUUAUGGGACUUGUACAGCUGAUGAACAACCAGCCCUUGAUUACUCACCAACUCCCAAUCAGCCCCAAUUAGUCCUGGACGGAGAGCCCGUCGAGACCUGGCACGUCCAGCAGAUGGAGCCAUCGCCUCGUGAUGUACACUCUGUCUGUCACCAGGCCUCGACGAGUCUCCCCCUGGUGGCUGACCUGCUGUACGCCACAAUGAAUACAACAGUAUAUAUAGCAUGUUUACAUAGAGAUAUAUAUAUAAACUAUACAACAGUAUAUAUAGCAUGUUAACAUGGGAAUAUAUAUCAUCUAUACAUGAAUAUAACAGUCUAUAUGGGUCCAGUGUUGGUUUCUUGAGGAGGGAAGCGACUCGGGCCAUCUUGAAGUCAGUUGUCAGGGAUGAGUUGGUGAGGGAAGUGAGGAAUGGGAGAAGGUCUCCAGAGAUGGUGUGGAGAAGGGAAUGGGGAUGAGUUGAUGAGGGAAGUAAGAAGGUCUCCAGAGAUGGUGUGGAGAAGUGAGGAGGGAAUGGGUGGGCAGGUUGUCGGGCGGACGGACAUCACUAAUCGCAGGAUUUUAUCUGGAGUGAGAGGGGAGAAUGAGGUCAAGGCGUAUGGUAGUUUUGUGUGAGUGGGACCAGUGGACUCAAUAGGCUGAGUGAAUGAGGAGCAGAUGUCGUCUGGAGAGAGAUGGGAGAAAGAGGUCAAGGUGUAUGGUAGUUAUGGAGAGAGAGGGGAGAAAGAGGUCAAGGCGUAUGGUAGUUAUGGAGAGAGAGGGGAGAAAGAGGUCAAGGCGUAUGGUAGUUAUGGAGAGAGAUGGGAGAAAGAGGUCAAGGCGUAUUGUAGUUCUGGAGAGAGAGGGGAGAAUGAGGUCAAGGUGUAUGGUAGUUAUGGAGAGAGAGGGGAGAAAGAGGUCAAGGCGUAUGGUAGUUAUGGAGAGAGAUGGGAGAAAGAGGUCAAGGCGUAUGGUAGUUAUGGAGAGAGAGGGGAGAAAGAGGUCAAGCCGUAUGGUAGUUAUGGAGAGAGAGGGGAGAAAGAGGUCAAGGCGUAUGGUAGUUAUGGAGAGAGAGGGGAGAAAGAGGUCAAGGUGUAUGGUAGUUAUGGAGAGAGAGGGGAGAAAGAGGUCAAGGCGUAUGGUAGUUAUGGAGAGAGAUGGGAUAAAGAGGUCAAGGCGUAUGGUAGUUAUGGAGAGAGAGGGGAGAAAGAGGUCAAGGCGUAUGGUAGUUAUGGAGAGAGAGGGGAGAAAGAGGUCAAGGCGUAUGGUAGUUAUGGAGAGAGAGGGGAGAAAGAGGUCAAGGCGUAUGGUAGUUAUGGAGAGAGAGGGGAGAAAGAGGUCAAGGUGUAUGGUAGUUAUGGAGAGAGAGGGGAGAAAGAGGUCAAGGCGUAUGGUAGUUAUGUGUGAGUGGGACCAGUGGACUCAGUAGGCUGAGUGAAUGAGGAGCAGAUGCCCUCUAGUGACCACUAUUCCAACACUAUAGUCAAUUACUUUGGGCCAAAGUCUCCCAAAGCUGUCUAAUACAUCUGGUCUAAAGUAGUGCACUAGGAAGGGAACAGGGCUCUGGUCUAAAGUAGUGCACUAUGAAGGGAACAGGGCUCUGGUCUAAAGUAGUGCACUAUGAAGGGAACAGGGCUCUGGUCUAAAGUAGUGCACUAUGAAGGGAACAG
This 6207-nucleotide long non-coding RNA is filed under the name Salmo salar (Atlantic salmon). RNAcentral's name for it is "lncRNA (ENSSSAG00000083365.1)". The record is from RNAcentral. Lineage: Eukaryota; Metazoa; Chordata; Actinopteri; Salmoniformes; Salmonidae.